RNAcentral lists this small nuclear RNA (18 nucleotides) under Arabidopsis thaliana (thale cress). RNAcentral describes it as "snRNA_11745". Lineage: Eukaryota; Viridiplantae; Streptophyta; Magnoliopsida; Brassicales; Brassicaceae. The record is from RNAcentral.
CAAAGGGUGUUGGUCGAU